GAUGAAGAACGUAGCGAAAUGCGAUAAGUAAUGUGAAUUGCAGAAUUCAGUGAAUCAUCGAAUCUUUGAACGCACAUUGCGCCCAUUAGUAUUCUAGUGGGCAUGCCUGUUCGAGCGUCAUUUCAACCCUUAAGCCUAGCUUAGUAUUGGGAAUCGACUUUACUGUCGUUCCUCAAAUUCAACGGCGGAUUUAUAGCAAUCUCUGAACGUAGUAAUUUUUUUUCUCGUUUUUGAAAUACUAUAAACCUCAGCCGCUAAACCCCCAAUUUCUUAUGGUUGACCUCGGAUCAGGUAGGGAUACCCGCUGAACUUAAGCAUAUCAAUAAGCGGAGGA
This 334-nucleotide unclassified non-coding RNA is filed under the name soil metagenome. RNAcentral describes it as "partial contains 5.8S ribosomal RNA, internal transcribed spacer 2, and large subunit ribosomal RNA". The stretch from base 1 to 120 matches the Rfam family "5.8S ribosomal RNA", at positions 35 to 154 of the family's 154-position model. The record is from RNAcentral.